GGGCCCGCACAAGCAGUGGAGCAUGUGGUUUAAUUCGAUGCAACGCGAAGAACCUUACCAGGCCUUGACAUCCUCGGAACUUUCUAGAGAUAGAUUGGUGCCUUCGGGAACCGAGUGACAGGUGCUGCAUGGCUGUCGUCAGCUCGUGUCGUGAGAUGUUGGGUUAAGUCCCGUAACGAGCGCAACCCUUAUCCUUAAUUGCCAGCGGUUAGGCCGGGAACUCUAAGGAGACUGCCGAUGACAAAUCGGAGGAAGGUGGGGACGACGUCAAGUCAUCAUGGCCCUUACGUGUAGGGCUACACACGUGCUACAAUGGUAUCUACAACAGGAAGCAAGACUGCGAAGUUAAGCAAA
RNAcentral lists this ribosomal RNA (354 nucleotides) under uncultured bacterium. RNAcentral describes it as "bacterial SSU rRNA". It matches the Rfam family "Bacterial small subunit ribosomal RNA", at positions 917 to 1271 of the family's 1533-position model. The record is from RNAcentral.